Molecule: ribosomal RNA, 564 nt
Filed under: Triticum aestivum (bread wheat)
Lineage: Eukaryota; Viridiplantae; Streptophyta; Magnoliopsida; Poales; Poaceae
Description: partial small subunit ribosomal RNA
Source: RNAcentral
AUGGCGAUGGAGACCAGCCUUGAGACGAUGCCCAAGAUGGAGGAUCUCGUCGCCGCCUUCGCCGCCUCCGUCACCAUGUCUGGCAGCAGCAACAACAGCCUCCCUGCGCCGCGCCCUGCUGCCACAGCUUCGACGUCGACGUCUACAAGCCCGGAGAUGAAGAUGGUGCUCAACAUGGAGGAGCUGGUCGCCGCCUUCGCCGCCGCCUCGGUUGGCCUCGCCGCCCCACCACCCAAUGCGCCGGCGACCGUGCCUUCCCAUACUAGGACGAUGAUGAAGACGGAAGAAGAAGAACGCGAGCCGGCCAAGGGGGAGGAGGCGUGCGUCCUGCGCGUGCGGUUCCCGGACGGCCGCGUCACGUGCAGGAGCUUCGGCGCCGGACGCCCCGUCGCGGCGCUGUUCAGGUACUGCCGCUCGGUGCUGCUCGGGGAAGGCGGCGCGGGGCGGAGGCCGUUCCGGCUCGUGAAGCUCGCCGGCGGCGCAUCCGACGAGGUGCGCGCCGGCUCGGCCUCGUUCCGCGAUCUCGGGCUGCACCGCUCCACCGUGCACGUGGUUCUGGCGUGA